This 253-nucleotide ribosomal RNA is filed under the name uncultured bacterium. RNAcentral's name for it is "partial 16S ribosomal RNA". It matches the Rfam family "Bacterial small subunit ribosomal RNA", at positions 524 to 776 of the family's 1533-position model. The record is from RNAcentral.
GACGGAGGGGGCUAGCGUUGUUCGGAAUUACUGGGCGUAAAGAGUGCGUAGGCGGUUUAGUAAGUUGGAAGUGAAAGCCCGGGGCUUAACCUCGGAAUUGCUUUCAAAACUAUUAAUCUAGAGUGUAGUAGGGGAUGAUGGAAUUCCUAGUGUAGAGGUGAAAUUCUUAGAUAUUAGGAGGAACACCGGUGGCGAAGGCGGUCAUCUGGGCUACAACUGACGCUGAUGCACGAAAGAGUGGGGAGCAAACAGG